AAGUCGUAACAAGGUUUCCGUAGGUGAACCUGCGGAAGGAUCAUUAACACGUUAUCCACGUAUCAUCAUGAGAACCGUUAAACUCCCUCGACGAGGAAUGAACAGCAGCAAGAUAGAGUAGUUGGUUGAGGCUAGCGCCCUAGAUGCGCGGCAGGCUCUAUUUGUUAUUUAGGCUUGACGGGUCUGGGUUUUUACCCAGGUCCCGAGUGUCUCUACUGUUGAAUCUAAGUUCGAGGCUACUCUCUGCGCACAGCUCUCCUUCCACGAGAUGGGCAACGAGAAACUUAUUCACAAUUUUAACCCCUUUUUGCUAGUUGACUUUUAUAUGUUGUGCUUCGCUUCGGUGAGGCUCACACGUUUAAUUACUUGAACGUUAAAAAUACAACUCUUAGCAAUGGAUAUCUAGGUUCUC
Molecule: unclassified non-coding RNA, 412 nt
Filed under: fungal sp.
Lineage: Eukaryota; Fungi
Description: partial internal transcribed spacer region
Rfam family: Eukaryotic small subunit ribosomal RNA (bases 1-46)
Source: RNAcentral